UUUGAAUCAACGGGGAAGCUGGGCAAUGUAGGGUGUGGGGUGAUGGGUUCCCUCCACCGGACACCAUCCGAUUCACCACAGUGCCUGGCGAUUCCGGUGGCCCAUCUGAUGAGGUACUCGGCCAUUCCAGAUUUGGAUGCUCCCAUCUUGCACAGAUGGGUGGGAGGAACAAUGAUCUACCAUAGACCAAACUCAGAAGAGAAAAUGGCUGCACACCACUUGUUAUUGAUGCUCUUCAGCUAAAACCAGUCUACUUUGUCAUCUACAGUCUAUAGCCCACCCUGAACAAUGAUAUGUUUCUCUCACAGGACUUGGUGGUAAAUCUACUCUUUCUCAAAGACAGCUGCUUAAGCAGCUACUCAUUAACAAUGUCACACAAUAAAGACACAAAUACAAAGACCAGACCUUAGAGCUAAACAAAAAGCUAACUUUCCAUCCUAUGUCUAUUCAAGAAACACUGUUACACCACCUAAUAAAACUUGGCCACAGCAUUUGUUCCUUUUCCAAUUCAUGUGCAUCUCACCCUCUCUUUCCCCAUGUCUGUAUAAAUAAAUGAGCAAAGAACAGAUGAAGCAAAACACCCAUAAGAUCUAUACAGUACUGAGAAACCAGAAAGCUUCUAGUUUACUACAAUGUAUCACUACUUUAUUUUGAUCAUUUGGCUUUUUGACAAUGGUUAAAGGUCUUACUGUUAUUGUUAGCUAUCUUGAGUAUUUUUGGGGAGAAACGAAGGAAGAUUAUUAUUAUUAUUAUUAUUAUUA
Molecule: long non-coding RNA, 761 nt
Organism: Anolis carolinensis (green anole)
Lineage: Eukaryota; Metazoa; Chordata; Lepidosauria; Squamata; Anolidae
Exons: 3
Source: RefSeq, a predicted model, not a curated record